GACGAACGCUGGCGGCGUGCUUAACACAUGCAAGUCGAACGGAAAGGCCCUGCUUUUGUGGGGUGCUCGAGUGGCGAACGGGUGAGUAACACGUGAGUAACCUGCCCUUGACUUUGGGAUAACUUCAGGAAACUGGGGCUAAUACCGGAUAGGAGCUCCUGCUGCAUGGAGGGGGUUGGAAAGUUUCGGCGGUUGGGGAUGGACUCGCGGCUUAUCAGCUUGUUGGUGGGGUAGUGGCUUACCAAGGCUUUGACGGGUAGCCGGCCUGGGAGGGUGACCGGCCACCUUGGGCCUGAGGUACGGCCCAGACUCCUACGUGGGGCAGCAGUGGGGAGUCUUGCACAGUGAGCGGAAGCCUGAUGCAGCGACGCCGCGUGCGGGAUGACGGCCUUCGGGUUGUAAACCGCUUUCGCCUGUGACGAAGCGUGAGUGACGGUAAUGAGUAAAGAAGCACCGGCUAACUACGUG
Molecule: ribosomal RNA, 468 nt
Filed under: uncultured bacterium
Lineage: Bacteria
Description: partial 16S ribosomal RNA
Rfam family: Bacterial small subunit ribosomal RNA
Source: RNAcentral